This 249-nucleotide ribosomal RNA is filed under the name uncultured bacterium. Its description in RNAcentral is "partial 16S ribosomal RNA". It matches the Rfam family "Bacterial small subunit ribosomal RNA", at positions 57 to 305 of the family's 1533-position model. The record is from RNAcentral.
GCAAGUCGAACGGUAACAUGAGAGCUUGCUACAGAUGACGACCGGCGCACGGGUGCGUAACGCGUAUACAAUCUACCUUUUGCUGGGGGAUAGCCUUUGGAAACGAAGAUUAAUACCCCAUAGUAUGGUUACUUCGCAUGGAGUUGCUAUUAAAGGUUACGGCAAAAGAUGAGUAUGCGUUCUAUUAGCUAGAUGGUGUGGUAACGGCACACCAUGGCAACGAUAGAUAGGGGCCCUGAGAGGGGGAUC